Molecule: ribosomal RNA, 265 nt
Filed under: uncultured bacterium
Lineage: Bacteria
Description: partial 16S ribosomal RNA
Rfam family: Bacterial small subunit ribosomal RNA
Source: RNAcentral
GUCCACGCCGUAAACGAUGGAGACUAGGUGUAGGCGGAUAGAACCCCGUCUGUGCCGAAGCCAACGCGUUAAGUCUCCCGCCUGGGGAGUACGGCCGCAAGGUUAAAACUCAAAGGAAUUGACGGGGGCCCGCACAAGCAGCGGAGCGUGUGGUUUAAUUCGAUGAUACGCGAAGAACCUUACCUGGGUUUGACAUAAGGGUAGUAGCCGACCGAAAGGAAGGUGACCCUUCGGGGAGCCCUUACAGGUGCUGCAUGGCUGUCGU